GUGGGGAAUAUUGCGCAAUGGGGGAAACCCUGACGCAGCAACGCCGCGUGAGUGAUGAAGGCUUUCGAGUCGUAAAACUCUGUCUUUGGGGACGAAUAAUGACGGUACCCAAGGAGGAAGCCCCGGCUAACUACGUGCCAGCAGCCGCGGUAAUACGUAGGGGGCGAGCGUUGUCCGGAAUCACUGGGCGUAAAGGGCGCGUAGGCGGUUUGUUAAGUCAGGUGUGAAAGUUUUCAGCUUAACUGGAAAAGUGCACUUGAAACUAACUUACUUGAGUACUGGAGAGGUAAGCGGAAUUCCUAGAGUAGCGGUGAAAUGCGUAGAUAUUAGGAAGAACACCGGUGGCGAAGGCGGCUUACUGGACAGAGACUGACGCUGAGGCGCGAAAGCGUGGGGAGCGAACAGGAUUAGAAACCCGUGUAGUCC
RNAcentral lists this ribosomal RNA (426 nucleotides) under uncultured bacterium. RNAcentral describes it as "partial 16S ribosomal RNA". It matches the Rfam family "Bacterial small subunit ribosomal RNA", at positions 354 to 796 of the family's 1533-position model. The record is from RNAcentral.